AGCGAACGCUGGCGGCAGGCCUACACAUGCAAGUCGAACGAUCCUUCGGGAUAGUGGCGGACGGGUGAGUAACACGUGGGAACGUGCCCUUUGGUUCGGAACAACUCAGGGAAACUUGAGCUAAUACCGAAUGUGCCCUUCGGGGGAAAGAUUUAUCGCCAUUGGAGCGGCCCGCGUCUGAUUAGCUAGUUGGUGAGGUAAUGGCUCACCAAGGCGACGAUCAGUAGCUGGUCUGAGAGGAUGAUCAGCCACACUGGGACUGAGACACGGCCCAGACUCCUACGGGAGGCAGCAGUGGGGAAUCUUGCGCAAUGGGCGAAAGCCUGACGCAGCCAUGCCGCGUGAAUGAUGAAGGUCUUAGGAUUGUAAAAUUCUUUCACCGGGGACGAUAAUGACGGUACCCGGAGAAGAAGCUCCGGCUAACUUCGUGCCAGCCGCCGCCGUAA
This 446-nucleotide ribosomal RNA is filed under the name uncultured bacterium. Its description in RNAcentral is "partial 16S ribosomal RNA". It matches the Rfam family "Bacterial small subunit ribosomal RNA", at positions 29 to 523 of the family's 1533-position model. The record is from RNAcentral.